GAGACACUAGUAAAAUUAGAUAUUACAAGUCUUUGUCAAGGAUUAAUUAUAGGUUUGAACCCUGUGUGUCUUA
This 73-nucleotide transfer RNA is filed under the name Omobranchus fasciolatoceps. RNAcentral describes it as "tRNA-Asp". It matches the Rfam family "tRNA". From Rfam's summary of the family: Transfer RNA (tRNA) molecules are approximately 80 nucleotides in length. Their secondary structure includes four short double-helical elements and three loops (D, anti-codon, and T loops). Lineage: Eukaryota; Metazoa; Chordata; Actinopteri; Blenniiformes; Blenniidae. The record is from RNAcentral.